RNAcentral lists this ribosomal RNA (198 nucleotides) under Triticum aestivum (bread wheat). RNAcentral's name for it is "partial small subunit ribosomal RNA". The record is from RNAcentral. Lineage: Eukaryota; Viridiplantae; Streptophyta; Magnoliopsida; Poales; Poaceae.
AUGAGGAUGAUGAGCACGACGAUGUUGAUGAUGGCCACCUUGCGCCAGCUCUUCUUGAUGCCGGCCAGGACGCCGGCCUUGCACGAGUCGCACUGGAAGCACAGCGUCUGCUGGUCGUUGCUCCAUUUGAGGCAGUCGGGGUCGGUCACCACGGUGGGGACGCCGGGGUUCGCGCUCCAGUAUGUCUCGUUGUUGUAG